Molecule: ribosomal RNA, 454 nt
Filed under: uncultured bacterium
Lineage: Bacteria
Description: partial 16S ribosomal RNA
Rfam family: Bacterial small subunit ribosomal RNA
Source: RNAcentral
UAGGGAAUCUUCCACAAUGGACGCAAGUCUGAUGGAGCAACGCCGCGUGAGUGAAGAAGGCUUUCGGGUCGUAAAACUCUGUUAUUGAAGAAGAACGUGUGUGACAGUAACUGGUCAUGCAGUGACGGUAUUCAAUCAGAAAGUCACGGCUAACUACGUGCCAGCAGCCGCGGUAAUACGUAGGUGGCAAGCGUUGUCCGGAUUUAUUGGGCGUAAAGCGAGUGCAGGCGGUCUUUUAAGUCUGAUGUGAAAGCCUUCGGCUUAACCGAAGAAGGGCAUCGGAAACUGGGAGACUUGAGUGCAGAAGAGGAGAGUGGAACUCCAUGUGUAGCGGUGAAAUGCGUAGAUAUAUGGAAGAACACCAGUGGCGAAGGCGGCUCUCUGGUCUGUAACUGACGCUGAGGCUCGAAAGCGUGGGUAGCAAACAGGAUUAGAUACCCUGGUAGCCCACGCC